AAACUUACCUGGCCUUGACAUGUCAGAGAACUUUCAGAGAUGGAUGGGUGCCUUCGGGAACUCGAACACAGGUGCUGCAUGGCUGUCGUCAGCUCGUGUCGUUAGAUGUUGGGUUAAGUACCGCAACGAGCGCAACCCUUGUCCUUAGUUGCCAGCACGUAAUGGUGGGAACUUUAAGGAGACCGCCGGUGACAAACCGGAGGAAGGUUGGGAUGACGUCAAGUCAUCAUGGCCCUUACGGCCAGGGCUACACACGUACUACAAUGGUAGGGACAGAGGGGUGCAAGCCGGCGACGGUAAGCCAAUUCCAGAAACCCUAUCUCAGUCCGGAUUGGAGUUUGCAACUUGACUCCAUGAAGUCGGAAUCGGUAG
RNAcentral lists this ribosomal RNA (372 nucleotides) under Stenotrophomonas sp. CA54. RNAcentral's name for it is "bacterial SSU rRNA". It matches the Rfam family "Bacterial small subunit ribosomal RNA", at positions 966 to 1338 of the family's 1533-position model. Lineage: Bacteria; Pseudomonadati; Pseudomonadota; Gammaproteobacteria; Lysobacterales; Lysobacteraceae. The record is from RNAcentral.